Molecule: RNA transcript, 1804 nt
Organism: Papaver somniferum (opium poppy)
Lineage: Eukaryota; Viridiplantae; Streptophyta; Magnoliopsida; Ranunculales; Papaveraceae
Exons: 9
Source: RefSeq, a predicted model, not a curated record
AAAAAAAAAAGAAAAAAAAAAGUGGUGCCCAAAAAAGGGUUCCUUCAAAAGUAGUAAAAUCCAAAGCAAAGCCCAUGGACGGCCCAAUGUUUGGUUCAUUGGCAUACAGGAAAAAAGGACCGCAGAGUUUAGGGCAUAAUUUUCAGUUUUUUCCCCAAAUUUACGAUUGGCGAUUGAAGAUGCAAAAGCAAAAUUGAAUGUUUUAAGUGUUUCAGAAGAGUCAACGUCAACCGAUGAAGAAGAAGAAGAAUCAAUGGGAGUUAUUGUUCCAACCAAAAUCGAAGAAGCAGGAAGGAAAUAUUGCUGUGCUAAAUGCUAUCGUUCAUACGGACGAGUAACCCAUGUUGCUUUAGAAAAGAGAGUCACCCUGGAACCAAAUGCUCUUGUGUCUGGUCGGAAUGGACGGAAGGACCAAUUAUAUCACACUAAUCGUUAUCCUGGGAUGAAUUUGCAUCUCGUAGAAGUAGGAAUGUUGGAUCAUCCGGGACGUAUUAGGAAGUUCGACACUGUCUGCAACUUUUGUGGUGAAUUAGUGGGAUGGUACUUUAGCGCUGUCUUAGUAUGCAGCAUUCUGCAGUCCGUUGCAGAUAGCCUAUACCCUCCCAUGUAUACAAACUGGCCCAGUUUUGCACUUGUUUGAUACCACCAAUGUGCCCUGGGUCCUAUAGCUUCUACUGCCAAAAGGGACAAUUAUCGUUCACUAGUGUACUGGUGCGACACAUUGAUGGACAGGUAGUUUUGUUAGAUGAUGAAGAGAAUGAAGUAGCAAGAGAUUAUGACUCUGAGAUGCCGAGAAUGGCCUACUUGAUGGAAAGGAACUGUGAUGCUGUGGAGGCCUAGAGACACAUAAAUGUCACUGGGCAACAUAUGGGAUUUAAGCUGCUAUGGAUGGUUAGUUUAUGUAUAAAGAUUAUCAGAAUAUCUCUUCUUUGUGCUUCUUGAUUGUUGUGUACUUCAAGUUAUUAAGUUGGGGAAAGUAGUCCGUCGCUUCUUUAUGAUGUUCUGUAACUUCUGUUUAAAUCAGCCAGCCCAAAUUUGGUUCCUCCUUUUUCUCUAUGUUGCUAUACAAACCAAAUUCCUUUUGAAAGAAUCUAACUUUCAUUAAUAGAUGAUGAAUUAGGAGACUCUAUAUACAUGUGCGCCACAUGUUUGUAUAGAGAUAAACGAUCCACCGGGAGAGCAAUUUCUUCCUGGGAGCAUGCUGAACCUACUCCAGUUACUUUACCUGGCUUUUAUUCUUGGGUGGGUCAUGGUGUUGAUCAAAUUUCUGAGGAAGAUGCGUAUUUGAUUACCCGGAUGUUUACUCCUAUUACAGGAUUGCUUAACACUCACAUGGUAGCGUAUGGAGGAGCAAUAUCAAGAUUUGGUAGGAGAGUCGUUAAUGGUGAAAUUGCAUAUGGGAAGAUUUUGGCUCCCUUAUUUUGCAACUACUGCCAGUGAAUUAAUGAAGUGCACGGAGAGCAAUAUAAACAUGGAUUGCCUCUUGCAGAUAUGAGCUCAAUUUUUAGAUACUCAGGUGCAGAUGAUUGAUUUUUGGCUGGGGAUAGCGAAAGUGUAGUACUAGUAUCAAAGGGUUAUCAGCAUCUUACUUGACAUACGCAUUAGUGUUAUCAAGUUUUUGAUUAUCUUGAACAUCUUACUUAACUCUCUAUACUUCUAACUAAUAGAUAGCUUUGCAGUUAUAUUUACUUUUAAUUGGGUUUAUAAGCCCAUAUAUUGCAGAAAAAUGAAAUGACACCGAAGUGAACAAGGUUAUUUGUAAAAAUGGAGCAUAAUCUCAAUUUUUGGGUGUCUUGUUAUUUUA